The sequence is a transfer RNA, 108 nucleotides long. It matches the Rfam family "tRNA". From Rfam's summary of the family: Transfer RNA (tRNA) molecules are approximately 80 nucleotides in length. Their secondary structure includes four short double-helical elements and three loops (D, anti-codon, and T loops). Further hydrogen bonds mediate the characteristic L-shaped molecular structure. tRNAs have two regions of fundamental functional importance: the anti-codon, which is responsible for specific mRNA codon recognition, and the 3' end, to which the tRNAs corresponding amino acid is attached (by aminoacyl-tRNA synthetases). tRNAs cope with the degeneracy of the genetic code in two manners: having more than one tRNA (with a specific anti-codon) for a particular amino acid; and 'wobble' base-pairing, i.e. permitting non-standard base-pairing at the 3rd anti-codon position. The record is from Rfam.
GGCGAUAUGGCCGAGUGGUUAAGGCGGUCGACUCAAGGCUAGGCCUUAUCACCUUCAAGGUGGUUUCGACUGACGCAAGUCGCUUGGGUUCGAAUCCCAAUGUCGUCA